Molecule: long non-coding RNA, 1700 nt
Filed under: Homo sapiens (human)
Lineage: Eukaryota; Metazoa; Chordata; Mammalia; Primates; Hominidae
Description: non-protein coding SOX2-OT:96
Rfam family: SOX2 overlapping transcript exon 3 (bases 307-582)
Source: RNAcentral
CAGUGCAUUUGAAAACUCCCCUUGCACCAGGGCUGACUGUAGCUGGGGGAAGACAUUUUACUCAUUUGCUCUUUCCUUUCAUACAGUCAGCUGGUCCCUCUUCUCAGGUGUAGAUCACCUAUUAUAAUUUUACCUAAUUUUGAUACUCUGAUAAGGAAAGUCCCAGGACUUAUCAGCUGGGAUAGGCCUCACUUACAAGACAGCUCUGUUCAGUAUUUGGAAGAAAGAAAGCCUGACAGGUUUCUUCGGAAAAGUGGCCAUCCAUGGAAUGAAUGAAAUGUUCUCUUUCUAUUCCAGGGAUUGCAGUGGCAAAGCUAGGCUAGGUCUUGGAGGCUGGUGUAAGGCGAUGUGGGUGAAGGCAGGAGGCUGAUGGAAAGACUGGGGGGAAGAAAAGCCGAAAUGGAUUCACGGUGCCUUGGAUGAAGGACGAGAGGGGAACUGCAAGCUCCUUCAACUGGUUCUGUCCGGUGAGAAGUGAUCAAGCUUGGGCUGACAAGAGGCUCAGGGAGCCCUCACGUUCUUUCGCUUUUUUACCUGCCAAUCAAACUGCUACAAGACAACACCCUGAUCUGGCAUGGACAUAUCCAACUUAGAAAUAAUGUUUCAUUCAAGAUAAGGCUCGUGGCUUAGGAGAUUGUGACCUGGCUUGCAUCAUUCUAAGACUUCUAUCGUCUGUUUUCAAAACCCAAGGAGGACCUCCUUUUCUGUGUGAUAGUUCCUCAUGCUUUGCCAGCCACUGGGUCUUUAAGGAAGCUUGCCAAGAGUUCCCGGCUGGGAAGGACAGUUCGAGUUCAUCAUAGACAAUGAGCUGGCACCACAGUUUAAGUGACUCACCAACCUGGUUGCCCACUUCAAAAUGUCAAGAACCACACUAUCUAAUUGAAAGAACUGUGUUUUAGCAAAGUGUAAUUGGAUCGCCUGGCAAGAUCAUCUCAAACUAUGUCUCUGACCUUGCCUUUCAGUGGCUAUUUUGAGCACAAGAGGAGAAAGGAAAUGAUUCCUGAAUUAUAUCUUGUUUUUAAAAAUUAAGAUUAAUUAAUACUUGGUUUUAUGUUCAUUCCAUUGUAGGAACUUAGUGAUUAUUACAAAACAGUCAAAAUAGGUCAUAGCAAAAUGAACGUUUAAGAUUAGGUUAAAACAUUCCUCUGAAAUUUUAGUAUUCACUUUUGAAGUGUCAAUUACUAUAUUUCUGUAAUUUCUCAUUUUUUUCUUGGCUUAGAGUCAAGAUGAAAAAUGAUAUUUGAAUCAAAGACAUUGUUUUGUUAUAUAGCCACUCCUUUCUAAAAUGCAAAUCCACCCUCCCCUCACCAAUGCUUUAUUCUUUGUGCGCGCACACACACACACACACACACACACACACACACACACACACAGACAUACACAGAACCAGCACCCAAAUGGUAGAGGAGGUCCUUCCAAGACUUCUAGGACCUGGAUCAUGUAAGCAGUAGAUGAGAAAAUGAAGUAAGAGAUAUAGAGUAAUAACAAUAAAAGUCAAUGAUUUCAUUUUACAAAAAAGUCAUUGUGUAGUACUCAGAUAUUUUUAAGAGCAAGUAUUAUUAUGACUAAAGUAUAUUAUACUUCUAAAUUAUUAUGAUUCUCAUCUAAUUUCAAGCCACACAUAGGCGCCAUUUGAAAGCAUUUUGUGUUACAACCUAUCAACAAAAAUCAACUAAUAGUUUUAUAACGUGCAUAGGUUU